Molecule: transfer RNA, 74 nt
Filed under: Aphanizomenon flos-aquae WA102
Lineage: Bacteria; Bacillati; Cyanobacteriota; Cyanophyceae; Nostocales; Aphanizomenonaceae
Description: tRNA-Pro
Rfam family: tRNA
About the family: Transfer RNA (tRNA) molecules are approximately 80 nucleotides in length. Their secondary structure includes four short double-helical elements and three loops (D, anti-codon, and T loops).
Source: RNAcentral
CGGGAUGUAGCUCAGCUUGGUUGCUCGCCUGCUUUGGGAGCAGGAUGCCGCAUGUUCGAAUCCUGUCAUCCCGA